This 468-nucleotide ribosomal RNA is filed under the name uncultured bacterium. RNAcentral's name for it is "partial 16S ribosomal RNA". It matches the Rfam family "Bacterial small subunit ribosomal RNA", at positions 28 to 507 of the family's 1533-position model. The record is from RNAcentral.
GACGAACGCUGGCGGCGUGCUUAACACAUGCAAGUCGAACGGAAAGGCCCUGCUUUUGUGGGGUGCUCGAGUGGCGAACGGGUGAGUAACACGUGAGUAACCUGCCCUUGACUUUGGGAUAACUUCCGGAAACUGGGGCUAAUACCGGAUAGGAGCUCCUGCUGCAUGGUGGGGGUUGGAAAGCUUCGGCGGUUGGGGAUGGACUCGCGGCUUAUCAGCUUGUUGGUGGGGUAGUGGCUUACCAAGGCUUUGACGGGUAGCCGGCCUGAGAGGGUGACCGGCCACAUUGGGACUGAGAUACGGCCCAGACUCCUACGGGAGGCAGCAGUGUGGAAUAUUGCACAAUGGGCGGAAGCCUGAUGCAGCAACGCCGCGUGCGGGAUGACGGCCUUCGGGUUGUAAACCGCUUUCGCCUGUGACGAAGCGUGAGUGACGGUAAUGGGUAAGGAAGCACCGGCUAACUACGUG